CCUACGGGCGGCUGCAGUGGGGAAUAUUGGACAAUGGGGGGAACCCUGAUCCAGCCAUGCCGCGUGUGUGAAGAAGGCCCUCGGGUUGUAAAGCACUUUCAGUGAGGAAGAACGCCUGGUGGUUAAUACCCAUCAGGAAAGACAUCACUCACAGAAGAAGCACCGGCUAACUCCGUGCCAGCAGCCGCGGUAAUACGGAGGGUGCGAGCGUUAAUCGGAAUUACUGGGCGUAAAGCGCGCGUAGGUGGCUUGAUAAGCCGGUUGUGAAAGCCCCGGGCUCAACCUGGGAACGGCAUCCGGAACUGUCAAGCUAGAGUGCAGGAGAGGAAGGUAGAAUUCCAGGUGUAGCGGUGAAAUGCGUAGAGAUCGGGAGGAAUACCAGUGGCGAAGGCGGCCUUCUGGACUGACACUGACACUGAGGUGCGAAAGCGUGGGUAGCAAACAGGAUUAGAUACCCCUGUAGUC
RNAcentral lists this ribosomal RNA (465 nucleotides) under Vreelandella stevensii. Its description in RNAcentral is "partial 16S ribosomal RNA". It matches the Rfam family "Bacterial small subunit ribosomal RNA", at positions 338 to 795 of the family's 1533-position model. Lineage: Bacteria; Pseudomonadati; Pseudomonadota; Gammaproteobacteria; Oceanospirillales; Halomonadaceae. The record is from RNAcentral.